AAAAAAUUAGUUAAUAUAAAUAACAUUAGAAUGUCAAACUAAAAUAAUCAAAAUUUUGAUAUUUUUUA
This 68-nucleotide transfer RNA is filed under the name Oreogeton sp. DY-2020. RNAcentral's name for it is "tRNA-Asp". Lineage: Eukaryota; Metazoa; Arthropoda; Insecta; Diptera; Empididae. The record is from RNAcentral.